GGGGAUAGAGCUCAGUUGGUAGAGUACUUGCCUAGUAUGCACAAGGCCCUGGGUUCAAUCCCAGCACCACCA
Molecule: transfer RNA, 72 nt
Filed under: Ictidomys tridecemlineatus (thirteen-lined ground squirrel)
Lineage: Eukaryota; Metazoa; Chordata; Mammalia; Rodentia; Sciuridae
Description: Spermophilus tridecemlineatus (thirteen-lined ground squirrel) tRNA
Rfam family: tRNA
About the family: Transfer RNA (tRNA) molecules are approximately 80 nucleotides in length. Their secondary structure includes four short double-helical elements and three loops (D, anti-codon, and T loops). Further hydrogen bonds mediate the characteristic L-shaped molecular structure. tRNAs have two regions of fundamental functional importance: the anti-codon, which is responsible for specific mRNA codon recognition, and the 3' end, to which the tRNAs corresponding amino acid is attached (by aminoacyl-tRNA synthetases). tRNAs cope with the degeneracy of the genetic code in two manners: having more than one tRNA (with a specific anti-codon) for a particular amino acid; and 'wobble' base-pairing, i.e. permitting non-standard base-pairing at the 3rd anti-codon position.
Source: Rfam by way of RNAcentral